Long non-coding RNA from Pangasianodon hypophthalmus (striped catfish), 455 nucleotides. RefSeq lists it as uncharacterized. The transcript is spliced from 3 exons. NCBI's taxonomy places the organism in Eukaryota, Metazoa, Chordata, Actinopteri, Siluriformes, Pangasiidae. The record is from RefSeq and is a predicted model, not a curated record.
GACACAACAUCUCCAUCAGAACAGCCUCAGAGUAAAACAACAAACUCUCCACCUGCAUCAUCCUCAACAACACUGGAAGUAGGAAAAGAAACUUCAACACAAUCAAGGAAAACAGACACAACACCUCCAUCAGAACAGCCUGAGAGUAAAACAACAACAAACUCUCCACCUGCAUCAUCCUCAAUAACACUGGAACAAGAUAAACGACAAACUCACAGCAGCCUCCCUCUAGUUUUCGGCAUCAUGGCGGUUUUACUGUUGGUGAUAGCUGGUGUAGUGGCAUUUAUUUGUUGGAGACGCAGAGGUACAACACACACACACACACACACACACACAGAUUUUGAGACUGAUUAACUAGGUACAAUUUGUUUUUUUGUACUAGUUUUUGUUUAUUUAUUUGGUCUGUUUUGUUUGUUUGUUUAUUUUUUACAAUUUCUCCAUUUUUUUCUACUGGG